GAUGAACGCUGGCGGCGUGCCUAAUACAUGCAAGUCGAGCGAACAGAUAAGGAGCUUGCUCCUUUGACGUUAGCGGCGGACGGGUAAGUAACACGUGGGUAACCUACCUAUAAGACUGGGAUAACUUCGGGAAACCGGAGCUAAUACCGGAUAAUAUUUCGAACCGCAUGGUUCGAUAGUGAAAGAUGGCCCUGCUAUCACUUAUAGAUGGACCUGCGUCGUAUUAGCUAGUUGGUAAGGUAACGGCUUACCAAGGCAACGAUACGUAGCCGACCUGAGAGGGUGAUCGGCCACACUGGAACUGAGACACGGUCCAGACUCCUACGGGAGGCGGCAGUAGGGAAUCUUCCGCAAUGGGCGAAAGCCUGGCGGAGCAACGCCGCGUGAGUGAUGAAGGUCUUCGGAUCGUAAAACUCUGUUAUUAGGGAAGAACAAACGUGUAAGUAACUGUGCACGUCUUGACGGUACCUAAUCAGAAAGCCACGGCUAACUACGUGCCAGCAGCCGCGGUAAUACGUAGGUGGCAAGCGUUAUCCGGAAUUAUUGGGCGUAAAGCGCGCGUAGGCGGUUUUUUAAGUCUGAUGUGAAAGCCCACGGCUCAACCGUGGAGGGUCAUUGGAAACUGGAAAACUUGAGUGCAGAAGAGGAAAGUGGAAUUCCAUGUGUAGCGGUGAAAUGCGCAGAGAUAUGGAGGAACACCAGUGGCGAAGGCGACUUUCUGGUCUGUAACUGACGCUGAUGUGCGAAAGCGUGGGGAUCAAACAGGAUUAGAUACCCUGGUAGUCCACGCCGUAAACGAUGAGUGCUAAGUGUUAGGGGGUUUCCGCCCCUUAGUGCUGCAGCUAACGCAUUAAGCACUCCGCCUGGGGAGUACGACCGCAAGGUUGAAACUCAAAGGAAUUGACGGGGACCCGCACAAGCGGUGGAGCAUGUGGUUUAAUUCGAAGCAACGCGAAGAACCUUACCAAAUCUUGACAUCCUUUGACCCUUCUAGAGAUAGAAGUUUCCCCUUCGGGGGACAAAGUGACAGGUGGUGCAUGGUUGUCGUCAGCUCGUGUCGUGAGAUGUUGGGUUAAGUCCCGCAACGAGCGCAACCCUUAAGCUUAGUUGCCAUCAUUAAGUUGGGCACUCUAAGUUGACUGCCGGUGACAAACCGGAGGAAGGUGGGGAUGACGCCAAAUCAUCAUGCCCCUUAUGAUUUGGGCUACACACGUGCUACAAUGGACAAUACAAAGGGCAGCGAAACCGCGAGGUCAAGCAAAUCCCAUAAAGUUGUUCUCAGUUCGGAUUGUAGUCUGCAACUCGACUACAUGAAGCUGGAAUCGCUAGUAAUCGUAGAUCAGCAUGCUACGGUGAAUACGUUCCCGGGUCU
This 1372-nucleotide ribosomal RNA is filed under the name uncultured bacterium. RNAcentral's name for it is "bacterial SSU rRNA". It matches the Rfam family "Bacterial small subunit ribosomal RNA", at positions 28 to 1381 of the family's 1533-position model. The record is from RNAcentral.